RNAcentral lists this ribosomal RNA (914 nucleotides) under uncultured archaeon. RNAcentral's name for it is "bacterial SSU rRNA". It matches the Rfam family "Archaeal small subunit ribosomal RNA", at positions 1 to 921 of the family's 1478-position model. The record is from RNAcentral.
UUUCCGGUUGAUCCUGCCGGACCUGACUGCUAUCGGAUUGAUACUAAGCCAUGCGAGUCAUUGUAGCAAUACAAGGCAGACGGCUCAGUAACGCGUAGUCAACCUAACCUAUGGACGGGAAUAACCUCGGGAAACUGAGAAUAAUGCCCGAUAGAACACUAUAUCUGGAAUGGUUUGUGUUCCAAAUGAUUUAUCGCCGUAGGAUGGGACUGCGGCCUAUCAGUUUGUUGGUGAGGUAAUGGCCCACCAAGACUAUUACAGGUACGGGCUCUGAGAGGAGUAGCCCGGAGAUGGGUACUGAGACACGGACCCAGGCCCUAUGGGGCGCAGCAGGCGAGAAAACUUUGCAAUGUGCGAAAGCACGACAAGGUUAAUCCGAGUGGUUUCUGCUAAAGGAACCUUUUGUCGGUCCUAGAAACACCGAUGAAUAAGGGGUGGGCAAGUUCUGGUGUCAGCCGCCGCGGUAAAACCAGCACCUCAAGUGGUCAGGAUGAUUAUUGGGCCUAAAGCAUCCGUAGCCUGCUUUGUUAGUUUUCGGUUAAAUCUAUACGCUCAACGUAUAGGCUGCCGGGAAUACUGCAAAGCUAGGGAGUGGGAGAGGUAGACGGUACUCGGUAGGAAGGGGUAAAAUCCUUUGAUCUAUUGAUGACCACCUGUGGCGAAGGCGGUCUACCAGAACACGUCCGACGGUGAGGGAUGAAAGCUGGGGGAGCAAACCGGAUUAGAUACCCGGGUAGUCCCAGCCGUAAACCAUGCAAACUCAGUGAUGCAUUGGCUUGUGGCCAAUGCAGUGCUGCAGGGAAGCCGUUAAGUUUGCCGCCUGGGAAGUACGUACGCAAGUAUGAAACUUAAAGGAAUUGGCGGGGGAGCACCACAAGGGGUGAAGCCUGCGGUUCAAUUGGAGUCAACGCCGA